UCUGUCUUUAUCGAAUCACCGUUUGUCAUGUCGUCAUAAUUCUUUUGGUAUUGCUCAGGAUUUAUCAUUACAGUAAGCAAUGGAUUGAAACGAAAGUAAAUUUCCGGUUAACAUAUUGAAUAAAAGCAUGUGUUUAGCUUCUUUUUGAGACUUGAGGGAUGAUGUUGAUAACAAGACUUAUCUAUUGGUAUCAGAAAGCGUCCAUUGCGCGUACCAGGGUGGUUGCUUGUCCUAAUGCAUUAACAAGAACAGGGUUAAAACUUGUCAUGAACCAAAUCAGUUGGAACAUAAAACAUCUUGCUGAUCAGAUCUACAUGUAGCCUUUUCAUUAAAGCAGGCUUGGACCUUUUUAUGACUGGAAGAUCCAAUAAACAUCACUAUUGUAAAAUAUGCAUUCAUGUAUGGCUUGAAAUAAGUAAUAUACUCAUUCAUUUCUUAAACACAUCUAUUUAAAACUUGUAGGCCAAAGUUAAAGCAAAGGAAUUGAGGGGUAAAAAGAAAGAUGAACUUGUGAAGCAGCUUGAUGAACUGAAAAAUGUAAGUAUGAGAAAAGUGAUGAUGUAUUACUUCAAGGCCUUUCCGGCUUAAACUUAAAAAGUACCUGUAAUAGUUGAACCAAAAACAGGUUGAAUAGUGAUUGAAGAACUUAAUUAAGUGCAUGAAAAAAUCAACCUUUCUAGGUUGUUAACAACAAAUUAUUGGCUUUGACCUAAACUUACAUACACCAAUGCAAUUAUGAUAGAUAUAUAUAAAAAAUAAGAUGUGGUAUGUUUGCCAAUGAGACGACUUUUCACAAGACACCAAAUGACACUGAAAUUAACAGCUACAGGUCACCAUAUGGCUUUCAACAUGAAUGAGCAAAGCCCAUAUAGCAUAGUCAGCUAUAAAAUCACAAAUAUUAAACAAUUCAAAAGUGAAAACUAAACCAUAAUUAAUGUACGAAAACAAAUAGUAUUUUUUUUUAUUUUACUGUGUUUCUUUCACCUGGUUUAAAAGUUGGUAGAAGAAACAUUUUUUUAUAUUCUAUUUGACAGGGUUGGAUAACAAAAUCAUGUGUUUGGCUGUCAAUUCAUAUAAUUCUCUUGAUCAUGAUAUCUUCUUUCUCAGUAUCCUGUGUCAAACCCUGCUUUAGGACAAUUUAUUUAAAAUGAGUAGAAAAAUUCUUAAUUAAAAUCAGGAUUGUACGGUUCAUCCUAACUUUCAAAUUUCUCUAUAUUUUAGGAGCUUGCUACACUUAGAGUUGCUAAAGUAACAGGUGGAGCAGCAUCAAAGUUGUCAAAGAUGUAAGU
Molecule: long non-coding RNA, 1289 nt
Filed under: Mytilus galloprovincialis (Mediterranean mussel)
Lineage: Eukaryota; Metazoa; Mollusca; Bivalvia; Mytilida; Mytilidae
Source: RNAcentral